AGGCAGAGUCGGGCGUCCGCGUCCUCCCGGCCAGCUCGACCGUCUUCUCUAUUGGGAGUCUCUGGUACUCAGGCUGGAGUGCGGUGGUGUGAUCUUGGCUCACUGUAAACUCAAGCUCCUGAACUCAAGCAAUUCUCCUGCCUUGGCCUCCCAAAGUGCUGGGAUUGCAGGUGUGAACUGCCACACCUGGCUCCCCGACUAUUCCUGUAUCAGAAAUGUAACUCACCCACUCACCACCAGCCCACACUCUGGGUUCUCCUAUCACUCCACUGCCUGCUCCUCGGCUGAUCACAAUGGAAGAAGAGAUCAUGGCACUUGUCAUUGACAAUGGCUCCAGCACAUGCAAAGCUGGCUUUGCUGGGUAUAGUUCCCCGAGCCAUGUUCCCCUCCAUCACUGGGUAUCCCUGGCACCAGGGCAUGAUGGUGGGCAUAGGCCAGAAGGACUCCUACCUGGGUGAUGAGGCCCAGAGCAAGUGCAGCAUCCUGACCCUGAAAGUGCCCCGUGGACCACCGCAUCAUCACCAACUGGGAUGACAUGGAGAAGAUCUGGCACCACACCUUCUACGAUUAGCUGCACGUGGCUCCCAAGGAGCACCCAGUGCUGCUGCCUGAGGCCCCGCUGAACCCCAGGGCCAACAGAAAGAAGAUGACUCGGAUUGAGACCUUCAACACCCCAGCAAGGUACACAGCCAUCCAGGCUGUGCUGUCCCUGUACACCUCUGGUUACACCACUGGUAUUAUCAUACACAGCUGAGACCCACACGGUGCCCGUCUACAAGGGCUAUGCCUUCCCCCAUGCCAUCCUGCGUCUGGAUGACUGGCACCUGACCAACCACCCCAUGGAGAUCUUCAGGGAGCCCAGCUACUGCUUCACCACCACAGCCAAACGGGAGAUCUUGUGCAACAUCAAGGAGAAGCUGCGGAAAUGGCCACCACAGCGUCCUCCUCCUCCCUGGAGAAGAUCUAGGAGCUGUCCAAGUGGUUCCAGUGUCUGGAGGCGCUGUUCCAGGCCUCCUUCCUGGGUAUGGAAUCUUGUGGCAUCCACCAGGCCACCUUCAACUCCAUAAAGUGUGAUGUGCACAUCCGCAAGGACCUGUUUGCCAACAUGGUGCUGUCUGGUGACACCCCCGUGUACCUGGGCAUCACCUACAUGAUGCAGAAGAUCACGACCCUGGUGCCCAGCUCCAAGAAGAUCAUCACCUUCCCUGAGCGCAAGUCCUUGUGUGGAUUGGCAGCACCAUCCUGGCCGCCUUCCAGCAGAUGUGGAUCAUCAAGCAGGAGUAGGAUGAAUCAAGCCCCUGCAUCACCCACUGCAAAUGCUUCUAAAUGGACUGCAAGCAGACGCGUGUCAUGUGCUUCAUGGAUUAAUGCAGAAGUAUAAAUUUGCCCCUGGCAAAUGCAUACACCUCAUGCUAGCCUCAAUAAACCAGAAUAAGCCUUUCAAAAGAACUGGUCCUUGAAGCUUGUAUAUCAGCACCGGAUUGUAGAACUUGGUGCUGAUUUUGACUUUGUUAACCGUUCCCUUGGUAUUUGUUUAAUACCCUGUACAUAUCUUUGAUUUAUACCCUUAGUACAUGUGGCUCAGUAACUUCAUGGCUGAGGUGAGGACAUGCUUGUGGGAGGGAAGUCUGUGGCUUGGUGGGUCUGUGUGACCUGCAGUCUCCUUAUCUGUGCAGGUACUAAGGUGUCAGAGAGCUCAGUGUUCCAGGAUUUUCCUUUUUUUUUUUUUUUUUUGAGACAGAGUUUCGCUCUAGUUGCCCACACUAGAGUGCAAUGGCGCAACCUCGGUUCACUACAACCUCCGCCUCCUGGGUCCAAGUGAUUCUCCUGCUUCAGCCUCCCAAGUAGCUGGGAUUACGGGCAUGCGCCACCACACCCGGCUAAUUUUGUAUUUUUAGUAGAGACAGGGUUUCUCCAUGUUGGUCAGGCUAGUCUCAAACUCCCGACCUUAGGUGAUGCACUGUGCCCAGCCAUUCCAGGAUUUUUCUAGAGCCUGGCAAGAGCUCCUGAACCAGUUUCAUUUCUGUCUUGCUGGUCUAUUAGUGUUAAGUCUUGAGCUAGAAGCGGUUUACAUUUACACCUGUAAAUUUAUUCAUUCUUUUAAUUUAUGUAAGUUUUUUGUACAUAAUUCUCAAUUUUUAAAGAGAUGACCACAAAUUUUGGUUUUCCACUGUUAUUUACAUAAGGAAAAAUAAAGUGCUGCAGUAAACCAAAAAAUAAAUAUAAUUCGCUCUAACCUCUAGCUCCAUUUUCAAAAGUCUGCAUGAACUUCUUUAAAUUAGUCCCAUUAAAAUGAUAACACUACUCAGCAGAGUUUAUUUUAAAUUCUCUUCAAAACUAUUUACUGAACUAUUAUAAAUUUGUCAGACACUAGGCCAUGCACCAAGAGCAAAUAGGAUAUUCUGAGUCCUUAUUCUUAUGAAAUUUAUCAUCCUUAGAAGUGAGGAAGUAGAGUCAGGCAUUUAACUUUUUUUUUUUUUUUUGAGACGGAGUCUCACUCUGUCACCCAGGCUGGAGUGCAGUGGCGGGAUCUCAGCUCACUGCAAGCUCCACUUCCCGGGUUCACGCCAUUCUCCUGCCUCAGCCUCCUGAGUAGCUGGGACUACAGGCACCCGCCACUGUGCCCGGCUAAUUUUUUGUAUUUUUAGUAGAGAAGGGGUUUCACCGUGUUCUCUAUCUCCUGACCUCAUGAUCCGCCUGCCUCGGCCUCCCAAAGUGCUGGGAUUACAGGCAUGAGCCACCACACCCUGCUAUUAACUUUUAAAUAUGUAUAAAUUUAGGAGAUAAUGGAAAUGAAAUGCUAUCUGAUUUUGAAGGGAAGAACUGAUGUUUAGAAAAGUGGGCUUUAUAUAGAACCACUACUUACAUUCUUUUAAAAAUCUUACUGUCACCAGGCAUGGUGGCUCACACCUGUAAUCCUGUAAUCCCAGCAUUUUGGGAGGUUGAAGCAGGAGGAUCACUUGAGGCCAGGAGUUCCAGACCAGCCUGGGGAACACAGUGAGACCCCAUCUCUCCAAAAAAAAAAAAAAAAAAUAGCCAGGCAUGUCAGCAUGCACCUGUAGUCCCAGCUACUCACGAGGCUAAGAGGCAGGAGGAUCAUUUGAGCCUGGGAGUUCGAGGUUGCAGUGAGCCGCCAUCGUGCCAUUGCGCUCCAGCCUCGGUGACAGAGUGAGGCCCUGUCCCAAGAAAAAUAAAAACCUUAUUGUGAAAAUACAUGUUCAGAAAAGUACACAGAAGAUGUACAGCUCACUUUAUUACAUAGCAACUAUCAAGAUUUUAAAAUGUAGAACAUUACUAGCAUUGCAGAAGCUCUCCUCAUGCCCCCUCCAAAUCAUUACUCCUACCUUUAUCAUAAAUCAAGUGUCCUAUAUGCGUGGGUCUGUUUCUGAGCUCUUUUGUUCCAUUAGUCUGUCUAUCCUUGUGACAAGCUACACUGUCUGUCCAAUAGAAAAAUUCUCCCACCUUGUUUUUCUCCAUGACUGUCUCGGCUACUCCUCGUCCUCUGCAUUUUCAUUUAACUUUUACAAUCAGUUUGUUGAAUUUCACACACACAAACUUGAGUUUUUGACUGGGAUUUACUGAAUUUAUACAUCAGUUUGAAGUUGAGAUUGUUAACAGUAUUAGGAGUUAACAAACUUUUUUCUUAAAGGGUUAGAUAAGUAUUCUAAGCUCUGUGGGCUGAGGCAGAAUUGGAGAUAUUAUAUACUUACAUAACCAUUUACAAAACAUAAAAAUCGGCCAGGUGCGGUGGCUCACACCUGUAAUUCCAGCACUUGUGGGAGUCCAUGGUGGGAGGAUCACUUGAGCCUAAGAGUUUGAGACCAGCCUGGACAACAUGGCAAAACCCUGUCUCUACUAAAAAUACAAAUUAGCCGGGCGCACUGGCACAUGCCUGUGUUCCCAGCUACUCAGGAGGCCGAGCUGGGAGGCUCGCCUGAGCCUGGGAGGUUGAGGCUGCAGUGAGCUGUGAUUGUGCCACUGCACUCUAGGCUAGGUAACAGAGUUAAGAUCCUGUCUCAUAAAAAAAAAAGUAAAAACUAUUUUUAGCUUGAAAGUUUCUGAGCCUCAAUAGGUACUGGCUGAAUGAAUUUGGCCUGUGGGCUAUAGUUUCCUGGCCCCAUGAAUUUGUUUUCUUUUACUUUCUCUCAGUAAUGUCAUAUAAGGUUUUGUGUUGUGGUCUUACAUAUCUACUGUUAGUUAUGUCUAACCCCUAGUUUUCUAGUUCUCUCCUCAGUUGUGCCUAAGCUGCUGUUAAAGCAUUCCAGUGAACUUUAGAGACAGGGGCUCACUGUUGCCCAGGCUUGAGUAUAGUGGCAUCAUCAUAGCUCACUGAAGCUUCUAACUCCUGGGCUCAAGUGAUCCUCUCACCUCAGCCUCAAAAGUAGCUGGGACUACAAGCAGGUGCCACCACACCCAGCUAUUUUGUUUUUUGUGGAGACAGGGUCUCACUAUGUUGCCCAUGCUGGUUCCACUGUAUUUUUUCUUUUGUUGAGACGGAAUCUCUCCCUGUCCCAGGCUGGAGUGCAGUGGCACAAUCUCGGCUCACUGCAACCUCCGCCUCCUGGGUUCAAGCGAUUUUCCUGCCUCAGCCUUCGGAGUAGCUGGGAUUGCAGGCGUGCACCACCAUGCCUGGCUAAUUUUUGCAUUUUUAGUAGAGACAGGGUUUCACAUUGGCCAGGCUGGUCUUGAACUCCUGACCUCAUGAUCCGCCGGCCUUGGCCUCCCAAAGUGCUGGGAUUAUGGGCAUGAGCCACCAUGCCCAAUCAAGUUUCCACUGUAUUCUUAAUUUUGAUUAUUGGAUUCUUACAAAUUCUAGAAUUUACUUUUUAAAAAAACAUGUUCAUGUAGCUGCUGAAUUCCCAAACUAGUGUCUCUCCUUGAACAUGGUAAGCAGUUAUUUUAGUCUGAUAGCACCGAUGUCUCCAGCCACUGUGGGCCUGCUAUCUUGUCUCACGUGCCUGGUUACAUCUUGUUGUACUCAGGAUAUUGUAUUAGCAAAAUUGUAGAAAGAAUCUGGGUUUAGGAUAAUAAUAACAUCCUCUAGAGAGGGGUUUUGUUUGCUUAUCCAAAGAGUUUGGGCAAACUACCACUCUGGGAUCACCUUAAUCUAAUUUCAAGGAUUAAGAUCCGUAAUCGGAGGCUGGGCUGCAGUCCCGAGAGCCUGUUUCCUACACCGCCUCACCCUUAUUCCUGGGGUGCAAAAGACUGAGGGCUUCAACCAAAAGUGAGUAACACCACCAAGUCCAUCGCCCUUUCACAGGCCCCAUCCCCUACUUCUGAAAGGCUGCUAAAAUCACUGCUAAGCCUCUGAAUCACCUCCAAGUUUGGCAAAUGCUCCCAGGAGAACGGUGGCCCUCACACCAAGCCCACCUCCCAGGGUUCCCAUCUCCUCUGCUGUCCUGGUUUAGCAAUUCUUCAAAGUCAAGUCGGCUCUCUUGGUGUGUUCACACAGAUUUCUAAAGUAUUUUGUCCAGCCUUUCUAGUUAACCAGUGAGCUGGGUAGUCCAAAGGACCUAUCCACCAUUAUCAGAAGCAGAAGUCCUCAUAGUUACUCAGUUACAUGUGUAGCCUCAUAUACAACAUGGUGACAAUUUGUGAAAUGUCAGUACACCACUGCCCAUCUUUGAUUCCAUGUUUUUGUAAAACAACAGACAAUUAUGUGGAAACAAUCAGGCUUUCACAAAAUCAACUGCUCUCCCCAAUAGAAAACGGAAGUUUCUAUACUCGGAGCAGAAAGCACAGGUUGCCUCUAUCUACCCACAGCAAAUAGCAGCUGAUUCACAAGUAUGUACUGAGAGCCUAUUAGGUGUGAGGGAAAUGAAGAAAUGACGUUUGCAUUUUAUAGCUGACUAGAUAAUCAGUUGGUUGACCUUAAGCUAAACCCCAAGGUUCAGG
Molecule: long non-coding RNA, 5895 nt
Filed under: Homo sapiens (human)
Lineage: Eukaryota; Metazoa; Chordata; Mammalia; Primates; Hominidae
Description: non-protein coding lnc-TMEM183A-5:6
Source: RNAcentral